GCCAGAUUUGGGAUGAAUAUCUAUGUUAAAAUACUUCCUCUUCAUAGACUCGCGGAUUAACGUUGGAGUUGACAAGAUGCCAUAAACUCGUGGCAAGGAGAAGAUGAUCUGCAGCAUCCUGCUGCUCAUCAGCCUGACCUCCUGUGUCUGUGGAACAUUUGUAGUGAAUGUGACACAGACCUCCUAUCAGGCAGAGGAGAACGAGAAC
Molecule: long non-coding RNA, 208 nt
Organism: Micropterus dolomieu (smallmouth bass)
Lineage: Eukaryota; Metazoa; Chordata; Actinopteri; Centrarchiformes; Centrarchidae
Exons: 3
Source: RefSeq, a predicted model, not a curated record